RNAcentral lists this ribosomal RNA (253 nucleotides) under uncultured bacterium. RNAcentral describes it as "partial 16S ribosomal RNA". It matches the Rfam family "Bacterial small subunit ribosomal RNA", at positions 524 to 776 of the family's 1533-position model. The record is from RNAcentral.
UACGUAGGGUGCAAACGUUGCUCGGAAUUAUUGGGCGUAAAGCGCACGUAGGCGGCCUAGCAAGUCGGAUGUGAAAUCCCUCGGCUCAACCAAGGAAGUGCAUCCGAAACUGCUGUGCUUGAGUACGAAAGAGGAUCGCGGAAUUCCCGGUGUAGAGGUGAAAUUCGUAGAUAUCGGGAGGAACACCAGUGGCGAAGGCGGCGAUCUGGGUCGAUACUGACGCUGAGGUGCGAAAGCGUGGGGAGCAAACAGG